AUCUAGCUGACGAGUCCUGAAUAGGACAAAAUAUACGUCCUGGAU
This 45-nucleotide non-coding RNA is filed under the name Schistosoma mansoni. Lineage: Eukaryota; Metazoa; Platyhelminthes; Trematoda; Strigeidida; Schistosomatidae. The record is from RNAcentral.